GGGCGGGAUGGGGGGAUGUCAGUCACCCCUGUUGGGGUCCAUGCGUCUAGGACAGGCUGGAAAGGUCAUGGCUUGGGUGCCUGCACAGCACAGGGCUUACAGGGGAGCAGGGGUCCCGGGG
Molecule: non-coding RNA, 121 nt
Organism: Canis lupus familiaris (dog)
Lineage: Eukaryota; Metazoa; Chordata; Mammalia; Carnivora; Canidae
Source: RefSeq, marked provisional